Molecule: ribosomal RNA, 478 nt
Filed under: uncultured bacterium
Lineage: Bacteria
Description: partial 16S ribosomal RNA
Rfam family: Bacterial small subunit ribosomal RNA
Source: RNAcentral
GACGAACGCUGGCGGCGUGCUUAACACAUGCAAGUCGAACGGUAAGGCCCUUCGGGGUACACGAGUGGCGAACGGGUGAGUAACACGUGGGUGAUCUGCCCUGCACUUCGGGAUAAGCCUGGGAAACUGGGUCUAAUACCGGAUAGGACCACUGCCUGCAUGGGUGGUGGUGGAAAGCUUUUGCGGUGUGGGAUGGGCCCGCGGCCUAUCAGCUUGGUGGUGGGGUGAUGGCCUACCAAGGCGACGACGGGUAGCCGGCCUGAGAGGGUGACCGGCCACACUGGGACUGAGAUACGGCCCAGACUCCUACGGGAGGCAGCAGUGGGGAAUAUUGCACAAUGGGCGCAAGCCUGAUGCAGCGACGCCGCGUGAGGGAUGACGGCCUUCGGGUUGUAAACCUCUUUCAGCACCGACGAAGCGCAAGUGACGGUAGGUGCAGAAGAAGGACCGGCCAACUACGAGCCAGCAGCCGCGGUAA